Molecule: ribosomal RNA, 429 nt
Filed under: Bacteroidota bacterium
Lineage: Bacteria; Pseudomonadati; Bacteroidota
Description: Bacteroidetes bacterium partial 16S ribosomal RNA
Rfam family: Bacterial small subunit ribosomal RNA
Source: RNAcentral
UAGGGAAUCUUCGGCAAUGGGGGGAACCCUGACCGAGCAACGCCGCGUGAGUGAAGAAGGUUUUCGGAUCGUAAAGCUCUGUUGUUAAGGAAGAACGAGUGUGAGAAUGGAAAGUUCAUACUGUGACGGUACUUAACCAGAAAGGGACGGCUAACUACGUGCCAGCAGCCGCGGUAAUACGUAGGUCCCGAGCGUUGUCCGGAUUUAUUGGGCGUAAAGCGAGCGCAGGCGGUUAGAUAAGUCUGAAGUUAAAGGCAGUGGCUCAACCAUUGUAGGCUUUGGAAACUGUUUAACUUGAGUGCAGAAGGGGAGAAUGGAAUUCCAUGUGUAGCGGUGAAAUGCGUAGAUAUAUGGAGGAACACCGGUGGCGAAAGCGGCUCUCUGGUCUGUAACUUACGCUGAGGCUCGAAAGCGUGGGGAGCGAACAAG